GAUCGGCUAACUCCGUGCCAGCAGCCGCGGUAAUACGGAGGAUCCGAGCGUUAUCCGGAUUUAUUGGGUUUAAAGGGUGCGUAGGCUGUUUUUUAAGUUAGAGGUGAAAGCUCGACGCUCAACGUCGAAAUUGCCUCUGAUACUGAGAGACUAGAGUGUAGUUGCGGAAGGCGGAAUGUGUGGUGUAGCGGUGAAAUGCUUAGAUAUCACACAGAACACCGAUUGCGAAGGCAGCUUUCCAAGCUAUUACUGACGCUGAGGCACGAAAGCGUGGGGAGCGAACAGGAUUAGAUACCCUGGUAGUCCACGCAGUAAACGAUGAUAACUCGUUGCCGGCGAUACACAGUCGGUGACUUAGCGAAAGCGUUAAGUUAUCCACCUGGGGAGUACGUUCGCAAGAAUGAAACUCAAAGGAAUUGACGGGGGCCCGCACAAGCGGAGGAACAUGUGGUUUAAUUCGAUGAUACGCGAGGAACCUUACCCGGGCUUGAAAGUUAGUGACGGAUGCCGAAAGGUGUCUUCCCUUCGGGGCACGAAACUAGGUGCUGCAUGGUUGUCGUCAGCUCGUGCCGUGAGGUGUCGGGUUAAGUCCCAUAACGAGCGCAACCCCUACCGUUAGUUGCCAUCAGGUCAAGCUGGGCACUCUAGCGGGACUGCCGGUGUAAGCCGAGAGGAAGGUGGGGAUGACGUCAAAUCAGCACGGCCCUUACGUCCGGGGCGACACACGUGUUACAAUGGCCGGUACAGAGGGUAGCUACCUGGUGACAGGAUGCGAAUCUCGAAAGCCGGUCUCAGUUCGGAUUGGAGGCUGAAACUCGCCUCCAUGAAGUUGGAUUCGCUAGUAAUCGCGCAUCAGCCAUGGCGCGGUGAAUACGUUCCCGGGCCUUGUACACACCGCCCGUCAAGCCAUGGGAGUUGGGGGUGCCUGAAGUACGUGACCGCAAGGAGCGUCCUAGGGCAAAACUGAUGACUGGGGCUAAGUCGUAACAAGGUAGCCGUACCGGAAGGUGCGGCUG
This 1016-nucleotide ribosomal RNA is filed under the name Odoribacter sp. N15.MGS-14. RNAcentral describes it as "bacterial SSU rRNA". It matches the Rfam family "Bacterial small subunit ribosomal RNA", at positions 491 to 1520 of the family's 1533-position model. The record is from RNAcentral. Lineage: Bacteria; Pseudomonadati; Bacteroidota; Bacteroidia; Bacteroidales; Odoribacteraceae.